Actinia tenebrosa (Australian red waratah sea anemone) is the source of this 220-nucleotide long non-coding RNA. Lineage: Eukaryota; Metazoa; Cnidaria; Anthozoa; Actiniaria; Actiniidae. The record is from RefSeq and is a predicted model, not a curated record.
GGGCACCUUUAACCCAUCAUGCUUUACGGUCUCAUAUCGACAAGAAAAAGAUGGCGGACGAGCCAAGGUGCGAAAUGUCGACGAAAUGGCCCUCUAGACACGUGAGAUAUUUUUAUUGCUUAAACUGUGCUUUGGUAAUGGCUGGCAUGCUUAAGCAAGUGCAUUAAUGUCAACAAGGAACAGGAUGAAUUCCAUGGAUUGAUAAAGGUCAUAUGAGUUA